This is a long non-coding RNA of Psammomys obesus (fat sand rat), 2829 nucleotides long. RefSeq lists it as uncharacterized. The transcript has 2 exons. NCBI's taxonomy places the organism in Eukaryota, Metazoa, Chordata, Mammalia, Rodentia, Muridae. The record is from RefSeq and is a predicted model, not a curated record.
GUAAGCGGAGGUGCUGGCGCCCCCGAGUGGGUGUGGUCACGUUGCCCAGCGGUGGGCGGUGAUUGGCCCGGGGCGGUGCACUCGCAGCUCGUGCGUCACGACGCCGCCAGCUGAUCGGAGACUGGAGCCGGUGUGUGCUGGGCGCUGGGAAGAGACAGAGCGGUCGGCCGUGCGGAGAGGACGCAGUGAUUUUGCUCCCCUGUCCUCAGCAACCCCCACACCCAGCAUCAGGAACCUGUGCCUCCCACACUCACCUGGCUGAGCCGCAGUAGUUCUUCAGUGGCAAGCUUUAUGUCCUGACCAGCUAAAGCUGCCAGUUGAAGAACUGUUGCCCUCUGCCCCUGGCUUCGAGGAGGAAGAGGAGGAGCAGCUUCUUGGCCUAUCAUCUGGAAGGUGACAGAACUGGGGUUGGGAAGGUCUGGACAGCUGGGGUGUUGGCUUUACGGGAGGGAAACCCUGGCUCUCUGGGGAGCCCUUAGCCACAUGGCCCAGCAAAAAUUUAGGUUAAAGGCACCUGACUAAACUGGGGAAUAUAGGUGGCCCGCCUUCCCAAGGGUGGUUGAUCUCUGGCAAUGGGAAGAGAUAGGAGGAAAGUCUGUCUGUCUAUGGAGAUUUUCUUAUAGGCCUGCCUUUCUUAUCUCCUACCCCUCUCACACAUACACUCUUUCUGCAUGACUUCCAAAAGUAAAUGAACUCAAGGGAAAGGUGACACCAAAACUUUUAUGUGAGUCACCUGCGUCUUCACCUGUCUCUGUAUUUAUUUUUAGAUUGGUCCAGGUUUUGGGUUUAGGAGUACUUGGCUCUUUGGGGACCGUACACCUGUCUGUUUCUCCACCUGUGCAAUGGGAAAUCCCGUAGAUGAGUAGGCGGGAGGGUAUGGAAGGUCUGCCCAUGCUGACUCAGCCUGGGCACGUCUCUUCUUGUGGAUGAACUGCUGUCCCUCCUCCAGCCCCUGACUACUCACCCACCUCUUGGGGUUGGGCUGGAAGGAAAGACUAGGGUUAAGACCAAUGCAAGCUAGUGGGAGGCUAGUCCUGUGCUGACUUCUUGCCAUGUAAGGGUGGCCCAAGGCUUUCCCUCCACCCCCAGCAAGACUGCAGGUCCUGGUUGGGUUCUAGCAACUGUUGCCAUUUAUCACCUGCCUUUGCUUUCCAGGAUAGUGAGACUCAGCUCAGUGCUGUGCAGGCAAGAAAUUGCCUCCUCAGGCCAUCAGGGGAGAUGGGUGUAUAAUAUGAGCCCCUUCUGCUGCCUCUAGCUCCUGAUUUAUUUCAUGUUUGGGCUUGGCCUCUGAUUGUGGUUCACCAUUGGCCCAGUCUCACUAACAGAAGAUGGGUUCAGAGCCUACAGGAAGUUGUUCAUUCUGUUUGACAGGAGGAGUUCUAGCUUAUUCUGCAUUUAUGAGAAACUGAAAGUAAUAGGGAAGAAUGGAUCAGACACUCCAGCCCUCCUGCAGCCUCAGAUGAGGGGUAGGAUGUGUGAGGGACUGUAGAGAGGGGAUAGGGAGGCUGCGUCUACUCGUACACUGCAACAAAGGUUGCUUUGUCCCUCGACAUUGCUUUCUUCCCCUCCUCGCUUCACUGGCCACAGUGUGCCCCUCCAGCACUGGGUACAUGGCUCUGCUAUCUUCAUCCAACACGGAGCCUCAGAGGUGAGGAAGGGCAGCCUGGAAACACAGAGAGGCAGGCGGAAGACCGGUGAAGGACCUGGCCUGGAGCCACGGGGGCCUACCCGGACAUGGGUCAAAGGGGCACAUAGAGGCCUGGAGAACACCAGGAAAGAGAACAGCCAGCCUCAGUGAAAGACAAGCUUCCAGCCAUCUUCUCUCCAGACCUUCCUCCCUUGGAGAUGAAGGGCCAUAGUGAAGUAUGGCCCCUUUCUUCUCUACUGUGCAGUUUCUAUAUAAGCAGCCUCAAAGGACCACCUCUGAGGGGAAAUACACAGCAAUUUGGAAGGAACAUUUAAAUGUGUAACUCUGUGGAAACAUCUUUCUGGCUAUGGGUAUCGCUCAGGUGGUGGCAUGCUCGCUCAACAUGCACAGAGCCCACUUCUGUCUUAUGCAUUGUAGAAAAGUGGGUGCAGUGGCACAGGUCUGUAAUGCCAGCACUGUGGGGAGGGGUGGCAAAGGAGCCUCUGCUAUACACAUAUACACACUGAGUUUUGAGCCAGCCUGGACUGCCUAAGACUGUCUCAAAAAAAAAAAAAAAAAAAAGGCAUUCGUUAGUAAUUAAAGAAGGCAGAUAUCGCUGAAAGCAGUUUUCUGUGAUCAUGGUAGGACAAGCAACUGCAAGCUGAAAGAACACUUCUACACUUUGUGUAUGCAGUGUCAAGCAUUGUAAGAGUUGUCUUUUCACCUAGUAAAUUUCUGUUUUAGAAAUGUAUCUUAAAGUAAGGAUUUGGUUAUAAAAUGUUCAUUUCAGGCUUGUAAUAGAGAAAAGUAGAAUGCAUCUGUUUGUUUGAAAAUCCAUUCCUUUUCUGCUGUCAUGAGAAUUUGUAGUAGGGGAUUGCUUAAGUAAACGAUACUGGUCCUGAUGGUGGAGGGCUGCACACCCAUUCAAAGUCAUGUAGAAGACAAAGUGACCGUAAAGAAAAUGUUCUUUACAUAUUAAAAGGAUGAUAAAAAAGUGUAAGUGUGGAUUUGAUUUAGUUAAACAAUUUGUUCUUGAAAUGAGUACAUACCUGUAAUACAUUUUUGGUUUUGUUUUAAAUACUGAAAGUAGACUCAAAAUGUGAAGAGUGGUUGUUCACCCUUGUUUUUUCUGUCAUUCUAAGCUGUCCAUACUAAUUGUAUGUUGUUUUCACAUGUUAAAUAAAAUACAAAAGAUAAAUGUA